UAUCCCUCGGGCCAAAGGCCCUCGGGCUAGUUCGGCCCUCAGGGCAUUAUAAGGUCCGUAACGCCCUUGGUACAUAAAUAGCUAUUUUGAUGCCAAACGAUUUCGGUGAUUAACUAGGUCUCAAACAAGUAUUUGUGGUAUCCAGUGGUGCCCAUUAGAAAUAUUUGCAGCCAGGCUGAGUCUGACAAUGAUUAAGCGACUCUCCCACUCGUCUCAAUUACCAUGAUAACUUUAUAACAGGCGCUGAAUUCGGUCCAUUACUAGAGUAAACAAGAUGGAUCAGGUAAAAUUUAUCUGGCGAACCGUUUAGGUGGGCAUGAUAAAUUAACCGACGUUAACUUUACUUUCGGAAAGUGGGAUAUGGCGUCAUCCAUACGCCGGAUGAGUCUUGAUUGAUUUCAACAUUUAUUAGUGAAUAUAGUUGAUUUCAAUAGUU
Molecule: long non-coding RNA, 436 nt
Organism: Dendroctonus ponderosae (mountain pine beetle)
Lineage: Eukaryota; Metazoa; Arthropoda; Insecta; Coleoptera; Curculionidae
Exons: 2
Source: RefSeq, a predicted model, not a curated record